RNAcentral lists this ribosomal RNA (1578 nucleotides) under Triticum aestivum (bread wheat). RNAcentral's name for it is "partial small subunit ribosomal RNA". The record is from RNAcentral. Lineage: Eukaryota; Viridiplantae; Streptophyta; Magnoliopsida; Poales; Poaceae.
AUGGCAGACUUCAAGGUUGGAAGCCUUGAUGCCCGAGCAACAAAGUUCAGAACCGUCCCAAUUGCUGUUACCCCGGAAGGGUUCUGGUGCUGCCCAUCACAGACCGUGCUCCAGAAGACAGUGAAGAACCAAAACCAGCAGACAAGGCCCAAAGUGGGUGCAUCCCCUCCUGCGUCAAAGGCCUCCUCGGUCCAGAGGGCGCCGACUAUCUCGUCGGAGAGGAGAACACAUUCGACUCCAACAAGGUCCAGAGCUAAUUCAGACGAGCAAAGAUGCCCGGCGGCGGCGGACAAUGCCACGUCCAAUCCACCGAAGGCGGCGAGCGAGAGGCUACCGAAGCAGCAUAAGAUAUCUGUUGGUUUUGGUCAGAUUGAGAUGAGUGACUUGAGAGUUGUGCUGUAUGGCAAGGAUGGUGUUGCUGUAAAGAUGAGUGUGCACAAGAACAUCCUUGCUGAAAAUAGCACCUUCUUUGCCGAUAAGCUGUCAAGGCAAUCUCCAGUGUCCAGCAUAGAAGUGCCUGAUUGUGAAGAUGUGGAGAUUUAUGUUGAGACUGUUGGCUUGAUGUACUGCAAUGAUGUCAAGCAGAGGUUGAUCAAGAAAAGUGUUCCACGCGUACUUCGGAUCUUGAAGGUUGCAGAACAUUUGGGUUUCCGAGCAUGUGUUCUGUCAUGCUUGAAUUACUUGGAAGCGGUCCCUUGGGCCGGGGAAGAAGAGGAGAAUGUGGUCUCAUCUGUUCGGCAUCUUCAGACCGAGGAUUACGGUGUCACCCCAAUACUGAAGAGGGUAUGCUCUGACCUAACGAGCCCACCAAAUGACACGUUUGUGCGUAUCAUAGAACUAGUUUUGAAAAGCAGUGAUGACAGAGGGAGGCGCGAGAUGAAGUCCUUGGUGCUCAAGCUUCUCAAGGAGAGCAGCAGCAGCUGUGCCAGUAGCUCUGCUGACCUAUGUGUUGAGACCCUCUACAGCUAUUGCCAGAAUUGCCUGGAGUCUCUGCUGACCCUGUUUCAACAAGCAUCUGACAGUGGUUUCUCUGAGCAGUCUUUGGAGCUUAAGGAACCGGUUCUUCGGCAGAUUACUCUCGAAGCGGAUAAUCUGUUAUGGUUAACCGAGAUUUUGGCUGGCAGGAAUGCUGCAGAAGAAUUUGCAGGCUUGUGGUCUAACCAACGUGAGCUGGCUGGGCUUCAUUCCAAGCUACCGACCAAGUCGCGCCACCUUGUGAGCUGCGUCACUGCCAGGCUCUUUGUGGCGAUUGGGAAAGGCGAAAUGCUCCCGUCCAAGGACACCAGGCAGCUCCUCCUGGAUGUCUGGCUGCAGCCUCUCAUGGAUGACUACAACUGGCUGCAGCACGGUUGCAGGUCGUUCGACCGGACCGUCGUCGAGGAAGGGAUCGGGUCGACCAUCCUGACGCUGCCGCUGGAGGAUCAGCAGACGAUACUGCUCUCGUGGCUCGGGAGCUUCCUCAAGGUUGGGAACAGCUGCCCCAACCUGCAGAAGGCCUUUGAGGUGUGGUGGAGGAGGACCUUUGUGCGGCCUUACGUCGAACAGCAGGGGAGCCGGUCGCAGUCGGGUCGGAGUUGA